Molecule: ribosomal RNA, 492 nt
Filed under: uncultured bacterium
Lineage: Bacteria
Description: partial 16S ribosomal RNA
Rfam family: Bacterial small subunit ribosomal RNA
Source: RNAcentral
AUUGAACGCUGGCGGCAUGCUUUACACAUGCAAGUCGAACGGUAACAGGCCUUCGGGUGCUGACGAGUGGCGAACGGGUGAGUAAUGCAUCGGAACGUGCCCAGAGGUGGGGGAUAACGCAGCGAAAGCUGUGCUAAUACCGCAUGUGAUCUGAGGAUGAAAGCGGGGGACCAGGCAGCAAUGUUUGGCCUCGCGCCUUUGGAGCGGCCGAUGUCAGAUUAGGUAGUUGGUGGGGUAAAGGCCUACCAAGCCGACGAUCUGUAGCUGGUCUGAGAGGACGACAAGCCACACUGGGACUGAGACACGGCCCAGACUCCUACGGGAGGCAGCAGUGGGGAAUUUUGGACAAUGGGCGCAAGCCUGAUCCAGCAAUGCCGCGUGCGGGAAGAAGGCCUUCGGGUUGUAAACCGCUUUUGUACGGAACGAAAAGGCUCUGGCUAAUACCUGGGGCUGAUGACGGUACCGUAAGAAUAAGCACCGGCUAACUACGUG